Molecule: long non-coding RNA, 306 nt
Organism: Dreissena polymorpha
Lineage: Eukaryota; Metazoa; Mollusca; Bivalvia; Myida; Dreissenidae
Exons: 3
Source: RefSeq, a predicted model, not a curated record
AAUUGCGGCCUUCAGUUAAAAGCCGAUGAUGAAGAAUCAGAUGACAAUGCGAUGGAAGAUGAACUGGAGGCUUUAAGACAAAAGAUGCAAAUGCUUGAAAGCAGAAAUAAAUUGAAGCGUAAAAAAAGAAAAAUUCAGAGACGAAGAGAAAAUGUCGAAUCCGUACAGGAUGCAUCUCAAGAAAACUGCUGCGAAGAAAACGUAUCAAUACCCUCGGUCCAGACUAAUGAAGCCAAUGUGCCAGGUAAAUACACGGAAAUAACAUUGUAUACAAGAGCCGACCAGGCCACGAAUACAAGUGACAUC